UGCUGAACCAUCAUCUUUGUCUUCUACGUCUUCACCUCUAAUUCUGCUAAUCAGCUCUUUCCCUAACAUUUCACCACCGCCAACAUCAUCUCCCUCCCCCUUUCUCACCACCGCCACAACCAACCCAGCCACCACCACCCCCCUCUGCGAUGGCACCACCGUUACCUCCCCCCCUCUGCUAAUCAGCUCUUUCCCCAACAUUUCACCACCGUCUCUCUGUCAUUUCACCGUCGCCAACAUCAUCUCCUUCCCCCUUCCUCACCACCGCCACAACCAACCCAGCCACAACCAACAUCAUCUUCUCGGUUACCGGAGAGGAAACCUCCGACACCCACAGACCCCGAACCACCCUUCACCUCCACCUUCACGUUGCAGAUCGGAGGAAAGGGAGCCGCCGCACACGGCGGCGGCGCAACGACAGAGAGACGGUAUAGAUUGAGUGCCACGUCAGCAAAUUAUGAGGUGCUUUAUCAGAUUUUUGUCCAACUUAACACUCAGGGUGUCAUUUCUUUGAUCAAUCUGAACGUUAUCAGAAUAAUUACCGAGUUUUGAUGUCAUCAGAAAUCCGUCAAUAAGUUCGCCGCGAAGAACUGUGUCUAUAGCUGCUUGACACACGUGCCAGUUCCCUGUCCAGAGAAGUCCGGCGGCUCCGGUCACCGGAUUCACUGUACGGCCAAAGUUGUCAUACCCUAGUAAUCAGCAACAUAAUAUUCAGGAAGAUGGAAGUUGUCAUCUUUGGCCUAACAUUCUUGUUUGCUCCAAAAAGAACAAAGAUCAAACAAUUGAUACAAAGAAAGUACUAAUAUGUAUAUCACACGAAGUAACAGAACUCUUGAGGAAGAAAGCAAAAGGACCCAAGAAGAGAGCUGUCACGUUGGACAAAAUUGUACAGAUUGAUGGCACCUCAUAAAAAACAGGCUAUGUUAUCAUGCCACGUUGGACAAAAUGGCCACGUCAACAAAAAAAAAAAAAAAAAAAACUAACCCAGUUAGUGUUUAUUUAACGAGGGGGUGACACAGCAACCCAAGUGUUAAGUUGAGAGUGGUGUGAGCCAAAAUCAAAAUUGAGAGUGCCAGCAGCCAAAUGACAAUAGUUAACUACGCAAGAUUUCAAAUCAAGUAAUAUAUAC
This 1129-nucleotide long non-coding RNA is filed under the name Helianthus annuus (common sunflower). RNAcentral's name for it is "hypothetical non coding rna". The record is from RNAcentral. Lineage: Eukaryota; Viridiplantae; Streptophyta; Magnoliopsida; Asterales; Asteraceae.